GACGAACGCUGGCGGCGUGCUUAACACAUGCAAGUCGAACGGAAAGGCCCUGCUUUUGUGGGGUGCUCGAGUGGCGAACGGGUGAGUAACACGUGAGUAACCUGCCCUUGACUUUGGGAUAACUUCAGGAAACUGGGGCUAAUACCGGAUAGGAGCUCCUGCUGCAUGGUGGGGGUUGGAAAGUUUCGGCGGUUGGGGAUGGACUCGCGGCUUAUCAGCUUGUUGGUGAGGUAGUGGCUUACCAAGGCUUUGACGGGUAGCCGGCCUGAGAGGGUGACCGGCCACAUUGGGACUGAGAUACCGCCCAGACUCCUACGGGAGGCAGCAGUGGGGAAUAUUGCACAAUGGGCGGAAGCCUGAUGCAGCAACGCCGCGUGCGGGAUGACGGCCUUCGGGUUGUAAACCGCUUUCGCCUGUGACGAAGCGUGAGUGACGGUAAUGGGUAAAGAAGCACCGGCUAACUACGUG
This 468-nucleotide ribosomal RNA is filed under the name uncultured bacterium. Its description in RNAcentral is "partial 16S ribosomal RNA". It matches the Rfam family "Bacterial small subunit ribosomal RNA", at positions 28 to 507 of the family's 1533-position model. The record is from RNAcentral.